Molecule: ribosomal RNA, 391 nt
Filed under: uncultured bacterium
Lineage: Bacteria
Description: partial 16S ribosomal RNA
Rfam family: Bacterial small subunit ribosomal RNA
Source: RNAcentral
AUACGGAGGAUCCGAGCGUUAUCCGGAUUUAUUGGGUUUAAAGGGUGCGCAGGCGGCCAUUUAAGUCAGCGGUUAAAUCGUGGGGCUCAACCCCAUUCUGCCGUUGAUACUGGGUGGCUUGAUUGCGGUCGAGGUUGGCGGAAUUCGUUGUGUAGCGGUGAAAUGCAUAGAUAUGACGAAGAACACCGACUGCGUAGGCAGCUGACCAGAUCGCAAAUGACGCUCAUGCACGAAAGUGCGGGGAUCGAACAGGAUUAGAUACCCUGGUAGUCCGCACAGUAAACGAUGAAUACUUGUUUUCGGCGAUAUAAUGUCGGAGGCAAAGCGAAAGCGAUAAGUAUUCCACCUGGGGAGUACGCCGGCAACGGUGAAACUCAAAGGAAUUGACGGG